UUCCUUUCUCCUGUUCAUUGUCCAUUUAUCUCUUGUCAUAGUUUUUCAUGAAUCCUGUUCCGACCAUGUUCAAGUCAGUUUUUAUGUUUUAGUUUUUCCCCGUUUAGGUUUCAGGUUAGUUUUUUUCCAGUUUGCAUUGCUUUGUUUUUGUUUCGACAUCAGCCCAGAUAUAAACGGCUCGCUUUUUGUUAUACCGCAUUUUUCUUUUGUGUCCGCAUUUUUGGUCCACACCUCAAACACACCGGCCCACCCCCCGUGACAGUUUUUAAGACUACAUGAAUGACUGACAACUUACAAGAGCUGACUGAUGAUCGGUGCUUUCAAGUUGGUGUUAAAUGACCUAUUCUCUCUUCAAGAACUGAUGAACCCAUUCAUUUAUAUGUAAAGGGCAGAGCAGGAGCCCCAUGUUCAUUCAGACGCUUGUAUUUGGAUGAAGAGAGUUGCAGAACACCCAAGGGCUGUGAACUCUAUUGCACAAAAUAUUUUGUGUCUACUUUUUUGUACAGAACAGCGAAGCAAAAUUGAACCUUAGCUAUCAGCAUCAUCCACUAAUGCAGGAGUUAUAUUGUUCCUUUAAAAAUAAAGUAAAACACAGUACUAGUUUUAUAAAAGAUACAAGAUAAACAAAAAAGCCCUCAUGGGGAAGCUGUCUGGACAACCUGGCAUUAUCUUUGACUUUUAAAACCAAUAAUCUGCUCCACAAUCUGUCACAUUAGACAGUAUCACUUCUUUGUUUCCAUGUAGCUGUCUAGGUGCUUUACUUCUGUGUCACACAUUUCCAGGAGCUUUGGAUUUCAAGUAAUUUCUACCAGGCAGCAUGGUCAUAAAUCUAAGCUUCUGACAUGUUCAUAAUGUAAGUUUGUGACGAUAUCGUGUCUCAGGAUGUAUUGA
Long non-coding RNA from Pundamilia nyererei, 891 nucleotides. RefSeq lists it as uncharacterized. The record is from RefSeq and is a predicted model, not a curated record. NCBI's taxonomy places the organism in Eukaryota, Metazoa, Chordata, Actinopteri, Cichliformes, Cichlidae. The transcript has 3 exons.